This 619-nucleotide ribosomal RNA is filed under the name Sphacelotheca polygoni-persicariae. RNAcentral's name for it is "eukaryotic LSU rRNA". It matches the Rfam family "Eukaryotic large subunit ribosomal RNA", at positions 47 to 663 of the family's 3401-position model. The record is from RNAcentral. Lineage: Eukaryota; Fungi; Basidiomycota; Microbotryomycetes; Microbotryales; Microbotryaceae.
UAAGCGGAGGAAAAGAAACUAACAAGGAUUCCCCUAGUAACGGCGAGUGAAGCGGGAAAAGCUCAAAUUUGUAAUCUGAUGCCUUCGGUAUCCGAGUUGUAAUCUCGAGAAGUAUUUUCCGCGCUGGACCGCACAUAAGUCUGUUGGAACACAGCGUCAUAGUGGUGAGAACCCCGUAUAUGGUGCGGAUGCCCAGUGCUUUGUGAUAUACUUUCGAAGAGUCGAGUUGUUUGGGAAUGCAGCUCAAAUUGGGUGGUAAAUUCCAUCUAAAGCUAAAUAUUGGCGAGAGACCGAUAGCGAACAAGUACCGUGAGGGAAAGAUGAAAAGCACUUUGGAAAGAGAGUUAACAGUACGUGAAAUUGUUGGAAGGGAAACGCUUGAAGUCAGACUUGCAUUUUGGAGUUCAGCCGCAAGGUGUAUUCUUCGAUUCGCAGGCCAGCAUCAGUUUUCGGGGGUGGAAAAUCGUGGUUUGAAGGUAGCAGUCUCGGCUGUGUUAUAGCUUUCCACUGGAUUCACUUUUGGGGACUGAGGAACGCAGUACGCUUUUUGCAAGACUUUCGAGUUUUUCGUACUUAGGAUGCUGGUGGAAUGGCUUUAAACGACCCGUCUUGAAACACG